Dermacentor andersoni is the source of this 195-nucleotide small nuclear RNA. RefSeq annotates it as U2 spliceosomal RNA. Lineage: Eukaryota; Metazoa; Arthropoda; Arachnida; Ixodida; Ixodidae. The record is from RefSeq and is a predicted model, not a curated record.
ACGUCUUUCUUUGUCUUGUAGACAUGGCCGACACGGGUCAAAGUGUAAUAUCUGUUCUUAUCAGCUCAAUAUGUGAUGAGGGUUGCAUUUAGACCCAAGAUAUUAAACUUAUUUUUGCAAAUUGACGGAGUGCUGGAAGCCAGAUGUUAUUGCACUAUCUGGUAUUGUACUAUCUUCAGGAUUGGCCCACGGUUU